CUAAAAACUAGGUACCUGAAGUUUUAUUAAUCUGCUUAGCACAGUAUCACAUCUGGCACAGUAACUAUAAUCAUCAGGUUUACUACUUGAUUAAGUCUGUAAUAGUACACAGUUAUUCUCCAGGACCCAGCUGGUUUCUGCACGGACCACAUUGGUCAUCAUGAGUGAAGUCUUGAGCCACUGAGCCACUACCACCUUGUGCCAAAUACUAUCUGUGCCCUGCCUGCCAACCAGGAUGACAACCCUUCACCUGCCAGGUGGAGAGAGACAGCAGCAGGCUAACUAGUUGUCUGUUAAGAACAUCCAGAGCAGGACCAGAAUCUGGGCCAGGAACUGAGAGACAGAUUGGGACAACGGAACAAAUCUACCAGGGUAUGCUGGCCAACUUAGUCUUCUAUUAUGAUCAAGGAAGGAUGGCGCCUGAGAGGUCAUUACUAUGUGACUGGUCUUCAUAUAUUGCUUCUAUGUUUGAUUCUUCCUCCAGAAAUGUUUCAAUAGCAAACUCAAUGAGUUUACGUAGCCAGAAUCUUAGUCAAUAACCUACUCUGCAGUAUCUUAGGGCUGACUUUGUACAUAUGGAAGUCAGCCAGAUCUCAUGAGUGGAUCAUUAAGCUAGAAUUAUUUUCUUGGCACACGUUACAGUAAGGUAAUAUAUGACCUAGGCCUAAGGCAGGCCAUCAACCUGUCAAGAGUAAUGACCCCCAGGGGUAAGGCCUUGCUGUCUCCACCUCAAGGAUGGGUCUUCAAAGUGGAGACAAUAUAGUCCCUAUGGUUUCUACAUGCUUAAUGAGUCUGUUAUGUGAAUUAUAAAGAUAAUAUCUAUGGGGACUUUGAGCUCCUACAAUAAAAAUGUAUAAAUAUAAUCCAAGAAAUUCUGGUAGACAAACAUUGUAAUAAUGCAUAUCAGUCUUUGUAUCUCCAUUUAGUUUUUUUAAAACUUGGCUUGUGUCCAGAAGUAUGCACAGAUAUACAUAGCAAAUGCUCAGUGCUGAAUGUUUAGCUAAAUCCUGUGCUUCAAAGCAAGGAUGAAUAGAUUUUCAUCAGAGCUCAGGACCUGAACUGUAGGCUUCCCUCACAAUGAGAAGUAAAGCUAAGUAUAGGUGAAUCCUGAGUGGCACAUAUUCUAUGAGAGUUUUAUACAUAAUUUGAAUGAUUGAUAUGCUGCAUCUUUCAUUGAAAUGAUUGUCAACCAAUAUUAUUUCAAGUGUUAUUUCCAUGCUAUUUCUAGUUCUGUAUGUUUUACGUAAUUAUAAAUGGCUUCAUAUUUUCAUGUAACAUUGUAUGAUAUGAUUUGGGUUCUAACAGGUUAUCCUUGACACCAGUAUAGAAUACCCAGAAUUAAUUUAAGGUAUAUUAUCAAACCACUAAAAUUAGGAUGUCCAUGAAUUCUGAAGGAGAAAAUAUCAUUUAGAUUGUGUGUGUGUGUGUGUGUGUGUGCGCGUGUGUGUGUGUCCUCUAAGUUUUAAACAUGAGGUGGUUAUAUAAAGGGGACUUCUAAAUUGGGAGAGGAUGAAAAUGGGCUAAAUAUUUCAAACAAACUUCAGUGUGAAAUCAGUAGUAUAUUCAGUAGAGGUGACAGGGAAAAAAGCUGUGGAGGAGAAAAGAGAACAAGAAAAUCAGGAAGCAGUAAAAAUGAUGACUGAGGUCAGGUGGUAAUGGUAACAUCAAGAAACUUGAAUCUGAUGGAAAAAAACCACGGGUAGCUAUAAAAGGGGCAUUCGAAAUAGGAAAUGAUGUGAGAGGAGAAGAUAAUUUUAGUAUAGUUAAAGGAGGUAGCAGCUAUAGGUGUGAAGAGAACGGAUUAAUUUUAAAUGUGUCCCAGAAGUAAGAGAAAUAUUUUUUUGAGGAGUGGGGGAGGAACAAUGAGAUAAACCUGGUUGAGUGUUUUAUGGUUAUCUCAAGUAAGAGUCCACUUGGAGUAUUAUGUCCAUUUUUGGACACCAUACUUUCAUAGGCAUGUUGAUGAACCAGGUCAUUCAAGACACCAGGGUAGUGAGAAGUGUGUUAAUAGUGCUUCUACCAGAGAGUUAGAGUGACAUGGCAGCUGUCCUCAUAUCUAUCGAUCUGUCAUAAGGAAGAAAGAUCACAUGCCUCUGCAUUGUUUAAAAGAAAGAAACAGACCCAAAGAAAGUCAGGAGGCAGAUUUUGCUCAAUAUAAUGAUCUAACAAUUAGAUGUGCCCUGUAACAGAGUGCGCUAUUGUAAAGUAAUGUUCUCCCAUCUUUCCAAGUAUUCAAGCAGAGAAUAGUCAAUAAUACAACUAACGACUGGAAGGGUUUCUUUUAUUCUAAGGUACUAUCAGAUGGAGGAACAUGUAGUUUGUGGUCAGUGACCUCAGGUUCUCACAUUCACGGUGCUGCAUCCUGGUUUUCAUUUGGGGACUGUUUUCUGGCACUCCCGCCUGUCUGGAGGUGAGAUAUGCUUGUUAUGACAACCCUUCUGUCACAAUAAAUUGGCUGGUGCAUUCAGUGUCAUCUAUGGCUUUUUACUUCUAUUAAUUCAUUAAUUCCGGGCCCCCAAGCGAAAGUUUCCAAAGGCCUUUUUUCUUCUUUGUUAAUUAUAACAUGAUAUCAAUCAGCACCCAAGCAGAAACUAGAAGAGUAUUCAAACUAGGUAAUUUGAGGAGAGUUUAAUAAAGCAACAGCUUACAAAGAUGUGGACAGUGGCUUAAGGAAGCCACUAAAGGAUGGCACAGUCCUCCAGGCUUGUGAUCAGGGGAGUCAUUACCAUCCCCCAGCCUGAAGAUCAAGAGGCUGGAGCUAUUUCCAGACCCUGAAGAGGGUGGUUGUAUGGAGAGGACUAUCUGAAAGAAGAGGCUGUAGCCAACACAAGAAAGCCAGGGAAUAAAUAAUCCAUCCUCACUCUCCUGCUGUUGCCUCUCAAUGGCCAAACCCAACCAUGAGCUGGGCAUGAAGGGAGCUAGCUGACAGCUAUAUGGCUCAGCUUCCUGGGGCCCAGAGCAGAGUGGAGCUGAGAAGAGAGUGAAUCUGGAGGGGUUAAUGGAAGAAACCACAGAAAGCAAAUUCCUCCCUGAGAUACAGUUGGUGCUUAGGCAAUAUUUGUACUGACAGGAAUGUGGCCACAUAUUUUGGAAAAGCUCAGGGACUCAAUCCUCUGCUAGCUGCUUUGAGGCCAUGUCUGCCGAAGUCACUGUCCUCUACAGGGUUUUUUCCUCAUGUUCAGUGUUUAGUCCUUUCCACCUUCACGAAAACGAUGCCUACUUAAUAUACAGAAAGGAGGACAUACAGAAAUUUUUCAUCUUAAUUGGAUAUUACAGUUGCCCCACUUUGGAGCCAAGAAGAGCUGAAUAAAGCUGAGAAACACCUAAACAGAAAGGCAAGUUUACCAUGAAGUAAGAAACGUAAGCUUUGGACCCCUUAAUUGCUUGAGCCUCCGUGAGUAUUGGGAGUUGGUGUGGGUUGUAGAAUGUUGUCAGUAGAGAGAGAAGUCAGAUUGCAUUUCUAUGUAAAUAUUUUGGGUAAAUUGCUUAGAGACAUGUCAGAAGAAAGGGACCUGGACUCUCAAGGCUCCAGUAACUUAUUAUGAAUCCUUUUCUUAUCCUUAAUAAAUAUUCUUUUUUGUACCUAACUUUAUAUUUCUAAUUUUAUGUUCUUUUUCUUGAGAAGGAUCAGCCAAAUAAUAUACGUUUUAGCCCCCACAAAACCUGGAUCACUCAACCUACAUGGAACUUUAAUCAUACUCAAACUAGGUCAGCAGUCAGUUUAAAGUGUAGGGGUAGGGGACAGUAAAAGGGACUUUAUAUGGAAGCCACGGAAAGUUUUCAUAGGAGAGAGAAAGAGUGCAUGUGCAUGUGGUACUAACAUGGACUCAAACUUUACUCCUGGCCACUGCUCCAUUUCUUUCUUGUAUAUUUGUGUUCCUUGAACAUAUACUUUAUACUAAAUGCAUCUACUUCUUAACCACAUAUAGGACAUUGACUUUCUUUAAUCAACUUUGUUCUCCUUCCCCUUGUACUUCUUCUAUCCCUAGAAGCUGCUACCCUCAACUAGGAUAUUUCUGGCAACUUCAGGAAAAUUGAAAGGACAAUUUCUAGUGCCAUUAUCUUUGCAACCUUUGACUGGAUGCCACCAGUUCACCCUUUUCAACUGUAAUUAUAAUGACUUCCUUAAAGUGUUGUCACUAACUCUGGCUUCUAUGACUUCAUUUGCUAUUUUACCACUUUCUGGUAUCUACUGGCAUUCUUGGGUAUAAUCUAGGAAUUAGUGCCCUUCCAUUGCAGUAGGUCCUGCCCAUCCUGAGACAACACACAUUUCCCUUCAAUCUUUUCCCUUGGUCUGUUUUCAUGUUGUUAACCUUCUUUUGCUGCUUCUUGCUGCUUUCUUCUCCCUCUAACUCAUCUCUCUGUUCAAUUCAUACAACUGAAUCUUCUUCCAUCUGGCCUAGUGAAACAAGCUCCUGGUAGGGCCCCCUUUCCCAGAUCUAACCUUCUUUCAUCAUUGCUCAGAGUGACUGUGACACAGGCAUCUCAAACCAUCCGACAUACCCCUCCACUCCUUAGGACUCUAUGGUGGCAUCCCUUAGCCCCAGGAAGCACAGGAGUCACAUCACUUUCUCAUUUAAGAUUCACUUGCUCAAAUCUUCUUUUGUCCAGUUCCACCCUACUUUUUCUAAAGCUGCAUGAUGCAUCUGUAGGCACUCCUUUGUACCACUUACUAUGUGUCAGACCUGGUAUCUUGAUUUGACCUCAUUUUGCUUACAGCAACCAUGUUUUUGUUUCUUGCAACAACCAAGUUUCUGUUUACUUACGGCAACCAAGUGAUUUCUGUUGUUAUCUCUAUUUCAUGGGUGAGGAAAUCGAGCAUUAGAGAGGGCAAAUAAAGUACCCAAAGUUAGAGAUUCGGCAAGUCUUUGGGUUCAUAAUAUUUGAACCCAAGCCCUCUGAUCCCAUAGUCCACAUUCUUAACCACUGUACCAGUGCUUCUCAAAGUAUAGACCACUGACCGUCGGCACCAGGGUCACUGGGUGCCUGUUAAAGUGCAAAUUCCUGGGUCCCAUUUUCUAUCUACUUACCUGAUGAAAAGGGAUCUGGUGAAAGAAUAUUCAAGGCAGAGAAAACAGCAACUGCUGAGGUGGGAAUAAGCAAGGAUCAGAAAAAGGGUGAGAGAGGCUGGAGCACAAUGAGCCCAGGAGGGUGGUAUGAGGUCCGGAGGCUUCGGAUUUUGGAUCUCUUUUCUUCUUUUCCUUUCCUUUUGCCUUUUGCCAUUCCUUUUGCCUUUUGCCUUUCCUUUCCUUUCCUUUCCUUUCCUUUCCUUUCCUUUCCUUUCCUUUCCUUUCUCUCUUUUUCUUUCUUUUUUGAGAGGGUUGCACUGUGUCACCCAGGCGGAAUGCAGUGACAAUCACAGCUCACUGCAGCCUUGACUUCCUGGGCUCAAGCAUUUCUCCCACUUCAGUCUCCCAAGUAGCUGGGACUACAAAUGCAUGCCACCACACCCGACUAACUUUUGUGUUAGGGGGUGGUCUCCCUGUGUUGCCCAGGCUGGUCUCAAACUCCUGGGCUCAAGCAAUUCUCCCGCCUCAGCCCCCCAAAGUGCUGGGAUUUUAAUUUUUUAUUUAGUUAGAUGGGAAGCUCUUGGACAGUGGUAAGCAGGCGAGCGAUAAGACCCACCUCACAUUUGAAC
Molecule: long non-coding RNA, 5638 nt
Filed under: Homo sapiens (human)
Lineage: Eukaryota; Metazoa; Chordata; Mammalia; Primates; Hominidae
Description: HSALNT0044960
Source: RNAcentral